ACGGGACCCGCACAAGCGGUGGAUGAUGUGGUUUAAUUCGAUGCAACGCGAAAAACCUUACCCACCUUUGACAUGUACGGAAUCCUUUAGAGAUAGAGGGGUGCUCGAAAGAGAGCCGUAACACAGGUGCUGCAUGGCUGUCGUCAGCUCGUGUCGUGAGAUGUUGGGCUAAGUCCCGCAACGAGCGCAACCCUUGCCAUUAGUUGCUACGAAAGGGCACUCUAAUGGGACUGCCGGUGACAAACCGGAGGAAGGUGGGGAUGACGUCAAGUCCUCAUGGCCCUUAUAGGUAGGGCUUCACACGUCAUACAAUGGUCGGUACAGAGGGUUGCCAAGCCGCGAGGCGGAGCCAAUCCCACAAAGCCGAUCGUAGUCCGGAUUGUUCUCUGCAACUCGAGAGCAUGAAGUCGGAAUCGCUAGUAAUCGCAGGUCAGCAUACUGCGGUGAAUACGUUCCCGGGUCUU
RNAcentral lists this ribosomal RNA (464 nucleotides) under uncultured Variovorax sp. RNAcentral describes it as "bacterial SSU rRNA". It matches the Rfam family "Bacterial small subunit ribosomal RNA", at positions 916 to 1381 of the family's 1533-position model. Lineage: Bacteria; Pseudomonadati; Pseudomonadota; Betaproteobacteria; Burkholderiales; Comamonadaceae. The record is from RNAcentral.